AGAGUUUGAUCAUGGCUCAGAUUGAACGCUGGCGGUAUGCUUAACACAUGCAAGUCGAACGGAAACGACAAGAGCUUGCUCUUGGGCGUCGAGUGGCGGACGGGUGAGUAACGCGUAGGAAUCUGCCUAGUAGUGGGGGAUAGCCCAAGGAAACUUGGAUUAAUACCGCAUAAUAUCUAUGGAUUAAAGUGGAGGAUCUUCGGACUUCACGCUACUAGAUGAGCCUGCGUAAGAUUAGUUAGUUGGUGAGGUAAAAGCUCACCAAGGCGACGAUCUUUAGCUGGUCUGAGAGGAUGAUCAGCCACACUGGGACUGAGACACGGCCCAGACUCCUACGGGAGGCAGCAGUGGGGAAUAUUGGACAAUGGGGGCAACCCUGAUCCAGCAAUACCGCGUGUGUGAAGAAGGCCUGAGGGUUGUAAAGCACUUUCAAUUGUGAAGAAAAGUUAAGGAUUAAU
RNAcentral lists this ribosomal RNA (458 nucleotides) under uncultured marine bacterium. RNAcentral's name for it is "bacterial SSU rRNA". It matches the Rfam family "Bacterial small subunit ribosomal RNA", at positions 8 to 464 of the family's 1533-position model. The record is from RNAcentral.